RNAcentral lists this long non-coding RNA (2946 nucleotides) under Pocillopora damicornis (cauliflower coral). RNAcentral's name for it is "uncharacterized LOC113671986". The record is from RNAcentral. Lineage: Eukaryota; Metazoa; Cnidaria; Anthozoa; Scleractinia; Pocilloporidae.
CGGAGAGAUAGAAUAUCAGCCAAACUACACAAAUGCUGGUAGUGGUUAAAAUUGCCCUUAGGCGCAAGCCAAAAGCUAGGAAGAGCACAAAUGUUUGCUGUCGAUGUCUUCCUCAAAGAAACUUACAAUUGGAGACGGUUCCCACGUUUUCGCCUAAUGCGCAGCGGUUAAUGAUGACAUUGCGAAAGGUUGAGCUAAAUUUAGACAAAGAUCCUAAUUUUGGAAACAUCUUUACAUUACCUUGGCUUGCUCAGCAGGCCUCUAGCUGAUACUUAUCAUCAACGAAAAUCUCUCAAGAGGCGAAUUUUCUCGUGUUGCAUAUUUCUUGUUUAAAAAAAAACAGACAAUUGAAAGACAAUGGAAUGAAUUGUGCUUUUAAUGCUUGAAUGCCUGAGCUGUUUAAUUCUUUACCAGUUACUGUUUCUCAAGGAUGAAACGAAUGAAAAGCUGGUGAGUGUGCGCGACAUGAACAACUGAGUAAUACAAGUAGGAGGGCUCCGCAUUUUGCACGUUUGAGGCAUAGUUAGAGAAUCAACUGUUUCUUGUCAAAUUUUAAAUUUAACAGAUUUAGAACCAGAUUAUUGGGGUGGAAGUGAAGAAUUAUUAUCCUUCCUAUGCGAAUGCUUCAAUCAUUAUCUCAAUUGCGAGUACUCAUGUCCUGUUCAUAUUUCAUUGAAAGGGAAUUAGUGUUGUUCUUUACUUCCUAACUGGGCAUAUCCCAUAAGUGAAAGCUGCUUAGCUACAUCCUCAAGGAAAAUAAUGAUGUGGCAUUUUUUGACAUUUGUUUUAGGGAAUAGAGUAAACCACCUCUUGGGGUGAGCGUCAAGUGGAUUAACUAAUUGACGGUGUUUGCGCCAUUUGUGGUGUGGCCAACUUGAAAUGCCGAGUCAUUUCGAGCUAAAGCAUUCUUGUGUGUACUAAAUCGUUGGGACUAUUUAACAUCUUCCUUCUCAUCCGCCCGCGACACUUGAUUUGAAUUUUCCUGGAUUUCCGCAAAUUCCUACGCAUGACACAUAAAUAACCGUGACGACAUUGAGAUAUGGAAGACAUAGGAGAAGAUAUAUACCGAAUUAAGAUACAAAGACUUUAAUCUUCUUCCCGCUGUAGUUUCGUGUUUUUUGGGGCAGUUUGCGUUACCAGGCAAACAAGGAAAGUCUGAUUCGAUAAGGAUCAUUUUGGACAAAGCACAAAUUACCGUUUCAAUAUUGCACUGUUUUGUUAUUUUGUCAAUGUGUACUUACUUGAUCCGCUACAGUCUUCUUUACAGUAAACUGUUCUCAUCUUUUGAACUUAAAUCUCGUUAGAAAAGUUCUAGAAAGGAAAAAGUUCUUCUUGCCUCUCUAAACAUCAUGCGUUGGUGGUGACACCCAAUGCCUCUCAUUCUACUUCCAUUGCUAAUGGACUUACUCACUGCACUAAUAGCGCGAAGGCGGGGUUUGCCAAUGAGCUAAGAGAACUGUAUAAUUUGAUAAGCCUUGGGGCGAUAUUGAGUCAUUUCAUCCGAAAUUAAACCAAACCAUUAAAGACAUUUUUGAGUCUGAGCAAAGGUGGCUGUCGGUAUCGCAGUCAAGAACGGCAAGAAACUUCAGUCAGUUGUAAUGUAAAAGAGAUAUUGACUCAUUGCAGUUAGUUUCUAAUAUAUAAUCCAAUCAAAAGAAAAAAUAACCUGGAGACACCAAAAUUAGAUCCAAAUUAGAAAUGCAAGUUUAAUUGCACCGUUGUUUUCCGCUCUACAAGUUGUGGGUUUUUUAUCGAAAUCUCCUUCGUCAUUAUUUCCUUUUCAAUCAGUAUUAACUUUCAGCACAUGCAUGCGGACUACUCCUGCCGAAACGUUACUGAUCUUCCUUGAGGUUGCGCUAAAACAUACAAAAGGAGUUGAAAUUAAACACGUGCUUAAGCCGGAUAUUCCCUUCGCAAAAGUUCACUCUAGCUGAUGGUUACUCGAUCGUGUGUGUCCAAGGCUGACCAAAUCCCAGUUUUAUAUUAUUAGGCUAAUGGCCUUGCCUCUUCAUUACGCAGCCAGACGUAAAGCUUAAUUUGCUUAAAUGAUUUCAAUCCAUUGCCUGAGGAGCUUGAAACUAAUGAAAGUCAUAGCAUUUAUUUUACAUCUCAUCACAAAGAAACAAUAAAACUGUCUACGGUUGCACAUUCCAUAAAUUUGUGACUGAAAAAUUUUGAUCAUGAGACUGAAGGCAAGUGUCUUAAGUACAACUGAUCCUUUCAAUCCAAAGAUCAAACUUUGAAUUCUCCAUUAUGACUUCAAUAUAAUUUUUCUUAUGUUCGAAAUGAGAAUUUUUGGCUCCCUGUCUAAUCUUGGGUCAGCUGCUUGACGCCGAUGUCUCCAUUGAUAUUGAAAGGCAAACUUACAUACUGAUCUCUUUUUGUAGUGAAGGGGUUGAGUAUUGCAUCUCAAUUGAAUGUUGUUGCACCGAUCAAGGAAUUGUUUUCUACGAAAAUAAGUUGCUUAUUCGCGAACUCCAGCUUGUACAGUCGGUUGUAGACAGAAAAUUUUUUCGUCCAAUAAAACUCCUCAAGCAGUUUGAUCAUGUUAUGGAAAGGGCAUUGGUAAAACUUUCACCAAUUGAAUGUAUUAUUCUCAUUUAAAAGACGGUUUGUUGUAUUAAUGAAAUCAAACGCGUGUCUCUCCAUCCCAAAAAGACCACAAGACGCAAAUAUUGGUUAGAACAUGAUGUGGUUGGAACACCAAUAGGAUGUCUUAUCACGUUCUCUUACGUUCAAACGAUACCAGGCGUCAACUUGCUGACCUGGUACAUGCUGAGAAAAAAAAUUUGAACAAUAGCAGCUCGACACCGGAUCCGACACACGUUAUCUCCUAAUGGGAAGCUUUCUACAUGUUACACGAGUUUCCGAGAUGUUAUCGCGCUUAACGAAGGAGGAUAGUGAACAGAAUAAAGCAAAUCAACAGGGAAGUCUAUAGACAGUGAA